UUAAGCGACUAAGCGUACACGGUGGAUGCCCUGGCAGUCAGAGGCGAUGAAGGACGUGCUAAUCUGCGAUAAGCGUCGGUAAGGUGAUAUGAACCGUUAUAACCGGCGAUUUCCGAAUGGGGAAACCCAGUGUGUUUCGACACACUAUCAUUAACUGAAUCCAUAGGUUAAUGAGGCGAACCGGGGGAACUGAAACAUCUAAGUACCCCGAGGAAAAGAAAUCAACCGAGAUUCCCCCAGUAGCGGCGAGCGAACGGGGAGCAGCCCAGAGCCUGAAUCAGUGUGUGUGUUAGUGGAAGCGUCUGGAAAGGCGCGCGAUACAGGGUGACAGCCCCGUACACAAAAAUGCACAUACUGUGAGCUCGAUGAGUAGGGCGGGACACGUGGUAUCCUGUCUGAAUAUGGGGGGACCAUCCUCCAAGGCUAAAUACUCCUGACUGACCGAUAGUGAACCAGUACCGUGAGGGAAAGGCGAAAAGAACCCCGGCGAGGGGAGUGAAAAAGAACCUGAAACCGUGUACGUACAAGCAGUGGGAGCCUCUUUAUGGGGUGACUGCGUACCUUUUGUAUAAUGGGUCAGCGACUUAUAUUCUGUAGCAAGGUUAACCGAAUAGGGGAGCCGAAGGGAAACCGAGUCUUAACUGGGCGUUAAGUUGCAGGGUAUAGACCCGAAACCCGGUGAUCUAGCCAUGGGCAGGUUGAAGGUUGGGUAACACUAACUGGAGGACCGAACCGACUAAUGUUGAAAAAUUAGCGGAUGACUUGUGGCUGGGGGUGAAAGGCCAAUCAAACCGGGAGAUAGCUGGUUCUCCCCGAAAGCUAUUUAGGUAGCGCCUCGUGAAUUCAUCUCCGGGGGUAGAGCACUGUUUCGGCAAGGGGGUCAUCCCGACUUACCAACCCGAUGCAAACUGCGAAUACCGGAGAAUGUUAUCACGGGAGACACACGGCGGGUGCUAACGUCCGUCGUGAAGAGGGAAACAACCCAGACCGCCAGCUAAGGUCCCAAAGUCAUGGUUAAGUGGGAAACGAUGUGGGAAGGCCCAGACAGCCAGGAUGUUGGCUUAGAAGCAGCCAUCAUUUAAAGAAAGCGUAAUAGCUCACUGGUCGAGUCGGCCUGCGCGGAAGAUGUAACGGGGCUAAACCAUGCACCGAAGCUGCGGCAGCGACACUAUGUGUUGUUGGGUAGGGGAGCGUUCUGUAAGCCUGCGAAGGUGUACUGUGAGGUAUGCUGGAGGUAUCAGAAGUGCGAAUGCUGACAUAAGUAACGAUAAAGCGGGUGAAAAGCCCGCUCGCCGGAAGACCAAGGGUUCCUGUCCAACGUUAAUCGGGGCAGGGUGAGUCGACCCCUAAGGCGAGGCCGAAAGGCGUAGUCGAUGGGAAACAGGUUAAUAUUCCUGUACUUGGUGUUACUGCGAAGGGGGGACGGAGAAGGCUAUGUUGGCCGGGCGACGGUUGUCCCGGUUUAAGCGUGUAGGCUGGUUUUCCAGGCAAAUCCGGAAAAUCAAGGCUGAGGCGUGAUGACGAGGCACUACGGUGCUGAAGCAACAAAUGCCCUGCUUCCAGGAAAAGCCUCUAAGCAUCAGGUAACAUCAAAUCGUACCCCAAACCGACACAGGUGGUCAGGUAGAGAAUACCAAGGCGCUUGAGAGAACUCGGGUGAAGGAACUAGGCAAAAUGGUGCCGUAACUUCGGGAGAAGGCACGCUGAUAUGUAGGUGAAGCGACUUGCUCGUGGAGCUGAAAUCAGUCGAAGAUACCAGCUGGCUGCAACUGUUUAUUAAAAACACAGCACUGUGCAAACACGAAAGUGGACGUAUACGGUGUGACGCCUGCCCGGUGCCGGAAGGUUAAUUGAUGGGGUUAGCGGUAACGCGAAGCUCUUGAUCGAAGCCCCGGUAAACGGCGGCCGUAACUAUAACGGUCCUAAGGUAGCGAAAUUCCUUGUCGGGUAAGUUCCGACCUGCACGAAUGGCGUAAUGAUGGCUAGGCUGUCUCCACCCGAGACUCAGUGAAAUUGAACUCGCUGUGAAGAUGCAGUGUACCCGCGGCAAGACGGAAAGACCCCGUGAACCUUUACUAUAGCUUGACACUGAACAUUGAGCCUUGAUGUGUAGGAUAGGUGGGAGGCUUUGAAGUGUGGACGCCAGUCUGCAUGGAGCCGACCUUGAAAUACCACCCUUUAAUGUUUGAUGUUCUAACGUUGGCCCCUGAUCGGGGUUGCGGACAGUGUCUGGUGGGUAGUUUGACUGGGGCGGUCUCCUCCUAAAGAGUAACGGAGGAGCACGAAGGUUGGCUAAUCCUGGUCGGACAUCAGGAGGUUAGUGCAAUGGCAUAAGCCAGCUUGACUGCGAGCGUGACGGCGCGAGCAGGUGCGAAAGCAGGUCAUAGUGAUCCGGUGGUUCUGAAUGGAAGGGCCAUCGCUCAACGGAUAAAAGGUACUCCGGGGAUAACAGGCUGAUACCGCCCAAGAGUUCAUAUCGACGGCGGUGUUUGGCACCUCGAUGUCGGCUCAUCACAUCCUGGGGCUGAAGUAGGUCCCAAGGGUAUGGCUGUUCGCCAUUUAAAGUGGUACGCGAGCUGGGUUUAGAACGUCGUGAGACAGUUCGGUCCCUAUCUGCCGUGGGCGCUGGAGAACUGAGGGGGGCUGCUCCUAGUACGAGAGGACCGGAGUGGACGCAUCACUGGUGUUCGGGUUGUCAUGCCAAUGGCACUGCCCGGUAGCUAAAUGCGGAAGAGAUAAGUGCUGAAAGCAUCUAAGCACGAAACUUGCCCCGAGAUGAGUUCUCCCUGACUCCUUGAGAGUCCUGAAGGAACGUUGAAGACGACGACGUUGAUAGGCCGGGUGUGUAAGCGCAGCGAUGCGUUGAGCUAACCGGUACUAAUGAACCGUGAGGCUUAACCUU
This 2902-nucleotide ribosomal RNA is filed under the name Escherichia coli. RNAcentral describes it as "bacterial LSU rRNA". It matches the Rfam family "Bacterial large subunit ribosomal RNA". The record is from RNAcentral. Lineage: Bacteria; Pseudomonadati; Pseudomonadota; Gammaproteobacteria; Enterobacterales; Enterobacteriaceae.